RNAcentral lists this signal recognition particle RNA (99 nucleotides) under Lachnospiraceae bacterium. RNAcentral's name for it is "signal recognition particle sRNA small type". It matches the Rfam family "Bacterial small signal recognition particle RNA". Rfam says of the family: The signal recognition particle (SRP) is a universally conserved ribonucleoprotein involved in the co-translational targeting of proteins to membranes. Archaeal SRP consists of a 7S RNA and homologues of the eukaryotic SRP19 and SRP54 proteins. Lineage: Bacteria; Bacillati; Bacillota; Clostridia; Lachnospirales; Lachnospiraceae. The record is from RNAcentral.
UCCCCGGUCCCACGCAAUGAGAGCCCACGAACCGUGUCAGGUCGGGAACGAAGCAGCACUAAGAGGUGUCUUUCAUGUGACGUGGGGUACCCGGGGACG